Molecule: long non-coding RNA, 1162 nt
Filed under: Vigna radiata
Lineage: Eukaryota; Viridiplantae; Streptophyta; Magnoliopsida; Fabales; Fabaceae
Description: long non-coding RNA (VRAD_LNC011889)
Source: RNAcentral
AGCUGAUGAAGAAGCAACGAAUAAAGAAUUUGUUAGUUGUGUCGAUGAAGAUGCUGCAGGUGUAGUAGCAUUUGACCACCCACGGGUUGUGAUUGAAGUUGAUGAUGAUCAUGAUGAUGAAGGGGAUGGUAAUGAUGUACCAUUGGCUGAAUUUUGAAUUGCUAAGUUUUUGUGCCAAGUUUUAGUUCAAACAAGUCAUAUUAGUGAAAUAAAGUUGCUGAAAUGGUUUACAUUGUGUCAGAAUAGUUAUUGUGAAAUUUCACUCUUCAAACCACCACUUUGAGUCCAUUUAUUUCGUGCAAAUUGAAUCUUAUAGCACUGGUUUUUAUAAUUGUUUGCAAUUGCUUACAUUAGAUUGCAGUAAAAGCUUAGGAUCUGUAUUAACCAUUAUAAAAACAGUUUAAAAAACAAGAAACAUAAAUUUAUAGUCAAAAUAAAAGGCAAUUAGAUCCUAUGCAAUCUGACCAAAUAAGAAACUAGUAAUUUGCAUAAUUAACUGAGGUUCAUUAAGGCAAACAAUUUUGAAAUUUAGUGCUGGACUUUUAAUUUUUUUGUUUCUGAUUCAAUUUGUUGGCUUUUCUUGUUAUAUUAAUCUGUUUUAGAGCCCUUGGUAGGUAGGUUCUGUUGAGUGUAGUGCUUUCUAAUUGGUUGCUUGUACUUAUUGGAUUCUGGUUUUGUCCAAAUUGCAAAUUCUGAUCAGCUUGUUGUGUCUUUCUGGGUGCAAUUAUUUUGAUCUAUUCUGUUCAGACUUGAGGUUGAAUUUACAUCUGUGUUGGUGCAACUUGAGAACCUACAAGGAUCCAACACUAGGGUAGCCUCUUAUGCGGUGGAGAUUGACUUCCUAUAUGGCUUGUGGUUGCUGCAGAAUACGUGGAAUGAUUAUAGUAAAUCAGCAAUUUCUGAAAUUUGUUUGAGUGAGUUGGUGAGGGCUACAUUUCAAACUCCACCUAGCAGCUGUUAGACUUGUUUGGCUGCUCCUUUUACAGUCUCAUUUUGCGAAAGAAGCCCAAAGAUGCAUACCUCCUUAAUUUUCUAUUUUUGGUCAAUUUUCUUCUAUCAAAGGCCUCUUAAGUCAAGUGAAAGGGAGAAUCCUGGGUGUUCUUCCUUCACUUGCAACUUUUUCUUGUAAUUUGCAUUGUUCAAAACUGAAUUAGUUGAUGAG